CCCUUAGAUGUUCUGGGCCGCACGCGCGCUACACUGAUGCAUUCAACGAGCCUAUCCUUGACCGACAGGUCCGGGUAAUCUUUGAAUCUGCAUCGUGACAGGGAUAGAUUAUUGCAAUUAUUAAUCUUCAACGAGGAAUGCCUAGUAGGCGCAAGUCAUCAGCUUGCGUCGAUUACGUCCCUGCCCUUUGUACACACCGCCCGUCGCUCCUACCGAUUGGGUGUGCUGGUGAAAUGUUCGGAUCGGCCGUUUGUCGCGGUUUCCGCGGCUCGUGGCUGAGAAGUUCAUUAAACCCUCCCACCUAGAGGAAGGAGAAGUCGUAACA
Molecule: ribosomal RNA, 325 nt
Filed under: uncultured eukaryote
Lineage: Eukaryota
Description: partial 18S ribosomal RNA
Rfam family: Eukaryotic small subunit ribosomal RNA
Source: RNAcentral